CCCGGCCUGCGAGCCCUGGGGAGGGGGGGUGCGGGUCUGUAACCCGGCCUGCGAGCCCUGGGGAGGGGGGGUGCGGGUCUGUAACCGCACCUGCGAGCCGCGGGGGGCAGCGGGUCUGUAACCCAGCCUGCGACCAGCUGGGGGCUGCGGGUCUGUAACCGCGCCUGCAACCCCGGGGAUCUGCGGGUCUGUAACCCGGCCUGCGACCAUCUGGGGGCUGCGGGUCUGUAACCGCGCCUGGCGGGGGGGUUGUGGGUCUGUAACCGGGCCUGCGACCAGCUGGAGGCUGCGGGUCUGUAACCGCGCCUGCUAGCCGCAGGGGCUACGGGUUUGUAACCGGGCCUGCGAGCCGCGGGGGGGCCUGCGGGUCUGUAACCGGGCCUGCGAGCCGCGGGAGCGCAGAGGUCCGCGCAGAGGUCCGCGCGGCGGCCGCCUCCCCCUUCUCCUUUGUGCCGAGGGACGCCCGGGGGCUGCGGCCGCGCUGAGCCCCCGCCGGGGCCCCGCCGCCGUCUGGUCCGAGGGCUCCUGAAGGCCUCAACCAGGGCACGUGGGUCACCCAGAACAGAAUCGGCCUCGCCGCCGGGGCUCUGGUUCCGGGGCUGGGAUUUCCUGCUGCCUGGCUGUGUCUCAGGCAUGCUUUGCCUCCGGGGAUUAGAGGAAGGAUAACAUAUGGACGUGGAAAACCUCUGAUACAACCUACAGAGCUAGACAACAGCUGCUAUGUGGGCCAGUUUACCGAGGAGAGCAUUCGCCACCAGCUGGGGGGACUGAGUCAUUCAUUCAUCAAAAACGCAGGACUGUCUACCAACUGUGGAAUUAGACAUCCUGUCUGUAUCUCCUGGCAAUGCAAUUCUCCCUCCUUUUGGGACACUGUCCUCAGCAGUGGGCUCCUCUCCGGAGCUCGCGCGAUCAUAGAACCUCCCUCCCACCACCACCANCCACCACCACCACCACCACCACCACCACCACCACCACCACCUACGCGUGUUCAUCCAAGGAUGGGUGUGUGACCGAGAUAGGUCAAGCAGAGUGCUCCCCCAAGAUUAUAGCUUAAAGAGGGGCAGAUACUUUCUGUUCCCUACGGGGAGGCUUUGCCCUCAGCAGUCGACAGUGAAACCAAACUCCCAACAGAGCAAAGGUAAGAGGAAGAGAGAAACAGGGCAUGUUCUGAUACCACAAUAGCAAGCCAGGUCCCUGGAAUAGCGGGGAUGCUUGCAGCUCCUUGAUUCUGGGAUCUCCCUCCAACAUCCUCUCAAAUUCAAGCUGGUAAUUUUACUCUCUUAAGGUUGUAAAAAUGGAUUUUCUUUCAUUCAUAACUCAGAGAAUCUCAGCACAACAGGCCACAGGGAAGAGGUUUUAUUUGGACUGGACAUUAAAAAAUAGAUGUAGGUUAGCAAACAUUUAGGAGAAGACUUUUUAGACUAGAAGGUGAUGAACUAUGGCUCACAGGCCAAAUCCAGGCACUGGGUUUCGGGUUUUAAUUAAUUAAUUAAUUUUUAUUUAGGGGGAGAGAGAGAGAAGGGUAGGAACAGGCAGGGGGAGAGGGAGAAAGAGAAUCCCAAGCAGGCUCCCAGUGCAUAGCCCAACACAGAGCUGGAUCCCAUACCCCCGAGAUGAUGAUCUGAGCUAAAAUCAAGUCAGGCCAACCCAGUGACCCAGGUGCCCCAGCCCACUAGAUUUUAAUGACUACAUUUUAUAUGCUUAAAUGGUUACAUUUUAAGUGGUUGCAUAAAAACAAUGUAAUAUUUUCAAUUUUGUCUCUCAGGUCCCAAAUCUAAAAUAUUUACUAUUGGACCCUUUUCAGAAAAAGUUUGUCAACUAGUACUAGGCAGAAAGAGCACUCAGUAAGCCAAAUGGUUGAAUAGGAAGGUGGCACUAUUAGGAAGGUAGUGUUAUGGUGAUUUUUAAGUUCCUUGCCUUCUGACUUUUUAAAAAAAUUAUGGUCAUAGAGAAUAUUUAUAAUAGAUAUUUUCAGUUUUCCUCUCCAAAUCCACUGCCUCUGCUUCUCUC
This 2010-nucleotide long non-coding RNA is filed under the name Vulpes vulpes (red fox). RNAcentral's name for it is "lncRNA (ENSVVUG00000013704.1)". The record is from RNAcentral. Lineage: Eukaryota; Metazoa; Chordata; Mammalia; Carnivora; Canidae.